Bradysia coprophila is the source of this 1196-nucleotide long non-coding RNA. The record is from RefSeq and is a predicted model, not a curated record. NCBI's taxonomy places the organism in Eukaryota, Metazoa, Arthropoda, Insecta, Diptera, Sciaridae.
UUUCUCUAGUUGUGUACACAAUAUAAUCUCACAAUUUAACAAGUGACACGAUAACGGCCACUAUGAGAUAGCAAUCAAACCGAAAACAAUUGAACGCAAUAAUGAAAUGUUUAUUUGUCGAAUCUCCACUGUGAAUGGCUGUGAGUCAUUUUAAUUUAAUAAUUACUGCGUAAGAAACAAUCGUUUCCCAUUGCUGCUUGAGGUGAGCGAUAAAGAAAGUGUAUCAGGAAAAUGGACUGUACGUAAGCGAAAUUGCGUAUCAAAAUACCGACAGUGUAAGGUUGAUUAUGAAAGUUAUAAAAUUUAUGUUCAGCAUGGUUGAGCUUUCCUUGCUCGUCACUUCCUACCACUAAAAUAUUCAAAUUUGAAGAGAAAACUGUCCAUCAUUCCUGCACAUUCUGGUGCAAUAAAAUCGGUAUAUAGAACCUGCACCGUGAAAAUCUUUCACGUUUAGCGUUAAAAGCGUUUACUUCGUCACACAAAAUUUAUUUCGAUGUACGACACCACGAUUAUAAUUAUGAAAUUGAUAAUCGUGUGGUGAAUAAUUGCUUUUCAUUAGUCCAUUAAAACGGUAUACGGUUUCUUUGUUAUAAAUAUGAUUAUGCAGUCGUUCUGCGUCGUAAAACAAUGGAACUUGUUGCUGGUAGACGGUAAUUAUUCACACAUGCGAGGUGUAGAUGAUUGGAAUAUCCAGACAAAGGGAACAAUCCAAAUGAUUUUAUUGAAAGCAAUUACUGUCACUCUUAUAGGUUUAAUUCACUUACGUAUUGAUUAACACUGAAAACGCCGACGUAUUACAUACCUACACACAUUCUAUCAUUUAUUCUGGGUACUUCAAAGGAAAUUGGAAGAUAUUGAAAGCUAAAACACAUUUGGAAAAUUCAAACCGAACAAUAACGUCGUCAUUACAUGAAAAUUUAUUCAUAAUUGUGAACAUCACGCAAAUACACUUACACAUCCUCAUUGAGAAUGUAAGUGAAAAUAAUUACAGCGAAAAUGAAAAUUAAUAAUUGGAAGUAACUCAAUUACAAAGUUAUCAUGAUCGUCUGCAGAAUUUUUUUGUUUGUUUAAUUAUCCGUUCAAUUCGCUGAUUCCUUUCUCAUCAGCAUAAUCAAUCAAAAUUUGCAGAUUUAAUUGAACGUGGGAGUGUUUGUAUGUUCUAAUACAAUAAAGGUGUUAUGAUAACCGCCCUCCGA